GCCACCCUAGCUCAACUGGUAGAGCAUCCGACUUGUAAUCGGAAGGUUGUCGGUUCGAUUCCGAUGGGUGGCUCCA
RNAcentral lists this transfer RNA (76 nucleotides) under Trueperaceae bacterium. RNAcentral describes it as "tRNA-Thr". It matches the Rfam family "tRNA". From Rfam's summary of the family: Transfer RNA (tRNA) molecules are approximately 80 nucleotides in length. Their secondary structure includes four short double-helical elements and three loops (D, anti-codon, and T loops). The record is from RNAcentral. RNAcentral also lists the same sequence under 1 other name. Lineage: Bacteria; Thermotogati; Deinococcota; Deinococci; Trueperales; Trueperaceae.